RNAcentral lists this ribosomal RNA (274 nucleotides) under uncultured bacterium. RNAcentral describes it as "partial 16S ribosomal RNA". It matches the Rfam family "Bacterial small subunit ribosomal RNA", at positions 523 to 796 of the family's 1533-position model. The record is from RNAcentral.
AUACGGAGGGAGCGAGCGUUAAUCGGAAUUACUGGGCGUAAAGCGCGCGUAGGCGGCUUUGUAAGUCGGAUGUGAAAGCCCUGGGCUUAACCUGGGAAUGGCAUUCGAUACUGCAGAGCUAGAGUAUGGUAGAGGGAAGUGGAAUUUCCGGUGUAGCGGUGAAAUGCGUAGAUAUCGGAAGGAACACCAGUGGCGAAGGCGACUUCCUGGGCCAAUACUGACGCUGAGGUGCGAAAGCGUGGGGAGCAAACAGGAUUAGAUACCCGGGUAGUCC